Macaca fascicularis (crab-eating macaque) is the source of this 148-nucleotide unclassified non-coding RNA. It matches the Rfam family "Metazoan signal recognition particle RNA". From Rfam's summary of the family: The signal recognition particle (SRP) is a universally conserved ribonucleoprotein. It is involved in the co-translational targeting of proteins to membranes. NCBI's taxonomy places the organism in Eukaryota, Metazoa, Chordata, Mammalia, Primates, Cercopithecidae. The record is from Ensembl.
GCCGGGCAUGGUGGUGCGUGCCUGUAGUCCCAGCUACUCAGGAGGCUGAGGUGGGAGGAUCAUUUGAGCCCAAGAGGUCAAGGCUGCAGUGAGCCAAGAUUGCGCCACUGCACUCCAGCCUGGGCAACAGAGUGAGACCCUAUCUCAA